Molecule: regulatory RNA element, 75 nt
Organism: Staphylococcus aureus subsp. aureus NCTC 8325
Lineage: Bacteria; Bacillati; Bacillota; Bacilli; Caryophanales; Staphylococcaceae
Rfam family: icaR 5' UTR
About the family: The 3'UTR of icaR mRNA (repressor of the main expolysaccharidic compound of the bacteria biofilm matrix) binding to the 5' UTR can interfere with the translation initiation complex and generate a double stranded substrate for RNaseIII. Mozos at al. showed that the interaction was between UCCCCUG motif in the 3'UTR and the Shine-Dalagarno region at the 5'UTR. Deletion of the motif resulted in IcaR repressor accumulation and inhibition of biofilm development.
Source: Rfam
GAAAUAUUUGUAAUUGCAACUUAAUUUUCCUGUAACAUAGUGUGAUUAAUUUUCAGUAGGGGGUUAUAAAAAUUG